Molecule: long non-coding RNA, 268 nt
Organism: Heteronotia binoei (common prickly gecko)
Lineage: Eukaryota; Metazoa; Chordata; Lepidosauria; Squamata; Gekkonidae
Exons: 2
Source: RefSeq, a predicted model, not a curated record
GGGUCAGAGGUAGAUCACCAGCCCCACUUGGUCUCAUGGUUUGCUGGACAGGUGUUUGGGAUUCCCUGAGACUGCCCCUCACGCAAUAUUCACCCAACUUCAAAAAGCUGGUGGAUGAAAUGCAGGCUCAGACGUCUCACUAAUUAGCAAGAGCGAAGUUUUAAAGAUUGCGCAAGAUCAGCCUGGAUCAACACUUGACCUACAUUUAACACAAAUUGCUCAAUAAAAGUUAAAGAAAGUUAUUAAGACAGUUAAAGAAAGUUAUAAC